AAUCCAUAGGUUAAUGAGGCGAACCGGGGGAACUGAAACAUCUAAGUACCCCGAGGAAAAGAAAUCAACCGAGAUUCCCCCAGUAGCGGCGAGCGAACGGGGAGGAGCCCAGAGCCUGAAUCAGCAUGUGUGUUAGUGGAAGCGUCUGGAAAGGCGCGCGAUACAGGGUGACAGCCCCGUACACAAAAGCGCAUGUGCUGUGAGCUCGAUGAGUAGGGCGGGACACGUGGUAUCCUGUCUGAAUAUGGGGGGACCAUCCUCCAAGGCUAAAUACUCCUGACUGACCGAUAGUGAACCAGUACCGUGAGGGAAAGGCGAAAAGAACCCCGGCGAGGGGAGUGAAAAAGAACCUGAAACCGUGUACGUACAAGCAGUGGGAGCACCCUUUGGGUGUGACUGCGUACCUUUUGUAUAAUGGGUCAGCGACUUAUAUUCUGUAGCAAGGUUAACCGAAUAGGGGAGCCGGAGGGAAACCGAGUCUUAAUUGGGCGUUAAGUUGCAGGGUAUAGACCCGAAACCCGGUGAUCUAGCCAUGGGCAGGUUGAAGGUUGGGUAACACUAACUGGAGGACCGAACCGACUAAUGUUGAAAAAUUAGCGGAUGACCUGUGGCUGGGGGUGAAAGGCCAAUCAAACCGGGAGAUAGCUGGUUCUCCCCGAAAGCUAUUUAGGUAGCGCCUCGUGAAUUCAUCUCCGGGGGUAGAGCACUGUUUCGGCUAGGGGGCCAUCCCGGCUUACCAACCCGAUGCAAACUGCGAAUACCGGAGAAUGUUAUCACGGGAGACACACGGCGGGUGCUAACGUCCGUCGUGAAGAGGGAAACAACCCAGACCGCCAGCUAAGGUCCCAAAGUCAUGGUUAAGUGGGAAACGAUGUGGGAAGGCCCAGACAGCCAGGAUGUUGGCUUAGAAGCAGCCAUCAUUUAAAGAAAGCGUAAUAGCUCACUGGUCGAGUCGGCCUGCGCGGAAGAUGUAACGGGGCUAAACCAUGCACCGAAGCUGCG
This 1002-nucleotide ribosomal RNA is filed under the name Salmonella enterica subsp. enterica serovar Enteritidis. RNAcentral's name for it is "partial 23S ribosomal RNA". It matches the Rfam family "Bacterial large subunit ribosomal RNA", at positions 161 to 1204 of the family's 2925-position model. The record is from RNAcentral. Lineage: Bacteria; Pseudomonadati; Pseudomonadota; Gammaproteobacteria; Enterobacterales; Enterobacteriaceae.